This 301-nucleotide ribosomal RNA is filed under the name uncultured bacterium. RNAcentral's name for it is "partial 16S ribosomal RNA". It matches the Rfam family "Bacterial small subunit ribosomal RNA", at positions 509 to 807 of the family's 1533-position model. The record is from RNAcentral.
CAGUCGCCGCGGUAAAACGAAGGGUGCAAGCGUUAAUCGGAAUUACUGGGCGUAAAGCGUGCGUAGGCGGUGAGUUAAGUCUGCUGUGAAAUCCCCGGGCUCAACCUGGGAAUGGCAGUGGAUACUGGCUCGCUAGAGUGUGUCAGAGGAUGGUGGAAUUCCCGGUGUAGCGGUGAAAUGCGUAGAGAUCGGGAGGAACAUCAGUGGCGAAGGCGGCCAUCUGGGACAACACUGACGCUGAGGCACGAAAGCGUGGGGAGCAAACAGGAUUAGAUACCCGCGUAGUCCCUGUCUCUUAUAC